RNAcentral lists this ribosomal RNA (545 nucleotides) under uncultured bacterium. RNAcentral describes it as "partial 16S ribosomal RNA". It matches the Rfam family "Bacterial large subunit ribosomal RNA", at positions 1008 to 1553 of the family's 2925-position model. The record is from RNAcentral.
UUGCCGAGAGGGAAAGAGCCCAGAUCGCCGACUAAGGUCCCAAAAAUCCGCGCUUAGUGUGAAAAGGGAUGUUGGGGGGCGCACUGACAGCCAGGAGGUUGGCUUAGAAGCAGCCACCCUUUAAAGAAAGCGUAAUAGCUCACUGGUCAAGCGAACCCGCGCCGAAAAUAUAACGGGGCUCAAGCGUGGUACCGAAGUCGCGAGAGUGGCAACACUCGGUAGAGGAGUAUUCUCUGGGAGAUACGCGGUGUAUCGACAAGAGGCACUAACGGCCCAGAGAAGAGCUUAUGCAGGCAUGAGUAGCGAUAAACCGGGUCAAAAACCCGGUCGCCGUAAGCCCAAGGUUUCCUGGGGAAGGAUAAGCCUCCCAUGGGUUAGUCGGGUCCUAAAGCUGAGGCCGUGAGGCGUAGGUGAUGGCAAGCUGGUUAAUAUUCCAGCACCGUGGCGGUGUUUAGCGAAGCAGGGACGGAGAAGGAUAGGCUCAUCCAGGUGUUGGUUUACCUGGUCCAAGCCCGUAGGCUGCACCCGUAGGACGCGACAGCGAC